GCAUGCCUUACACAUGCAAGUCGAACGGCAGCACGGGGGCAACCCUGGUGGCGAGUGGCGAACGGGUGAGUAAUACAUCGGAACGUGUCCUGUAGUGGGGGAUAGCCCGGCGAAAGCCGGAUUAAUACCGCAUACGAUCUACGGAAGAAAGCGGGGGAUCCUUCGGGACCUCGCGCUAUAGGGGCGGCCGAUGGCAGAUUAGCUAGUUGGUGGGGUAAAGGCCUACCAAGGCGACGAUCUGUAGCUGGUCUGAGAGGACGACCAGCCACACUGGGACUGAGACACGGCCCAGACUCCUACGGGAGGCAGCAGUGGGGAAUUUUGGACAAUGGGGGAAACCCUGAUCCAGCAAUGCCGCGUGUGUGAAGAAGGCCUUCGGGUUGUAAAGCACUUUUGUCCGGAAAGAAAACUUCUGCCCUAAUACGGUGGGAGGAUGACGGUACCGGAAGAAUAAGCACCGGCUAACUACGUGCCAGCAGCCGCGGUAAUAC
This 491-nucleotide ribosomal RNA is filed under the name uncultured beta proteobacterium. RNAcentral describes it as "bacterial SSU rRNA". It matches the Rfam family "Bacterial small subunit ribosomal RNA", at positions 42 to 526 of the family's 1533-position model. The record is from RNAcentral. Lineage: Bacteria; Pseudomonadati; Pseudomonadota; Betaproteobacteria.